CUAAAUCUGGAAGCUGAGUCAUGGGUAUUUAUAAUCAACAACAGAUGUUUAUUAAUGAUGGUAGUAGCAAUAAAGAAGGAAAGAGUUGUGUGGGGAUAAUUCGUUAAUAUCAGGGGAUAAAGAAGUUGUACUUCUAUUUGCAUUCAUGCAGAAAGAAGAAGAAAUCAAGUUCAUACUGAAAUCUUUGCUGUUGUAAGAUUGAUCACCAAGCAGCCCAUCCAAGAUUCACCCCUUAGCUCUGUCUCCCUUGUCUACGUAGACAUUUCAGAGUAGAAAAAUAAAACACUUAUUUCUC
This 295-nucleotide long non-coding RNA is filed under the name Mus caroli (Ryukyu mouse). Its description in RNAcentral is "predicted gene 12730 (MGP_CAROLIEiJ_G0005895.1)". The record is from RNAcentral. Lineage: Eukaryota; Metazoa; Chordata; Mammalia; Rodentia; Muridae.